Cyprinus carpio (common carp) is the source of this 603-nucleotide long non-coding RNA. NCBI's taxonomy places the organism in Eukaryota, Metazoa, Chordata, Actinopteri, Cypriniformes, Cyprinidae. The record is from Ensembl.
AUGGACAGACUGAACCUCAGGGACUUGGUGUCCAUCUCAAUGGAUGGGCCCAGUGUGAAUUGGAAACUCUUUGACCUUUUCCAGAAAGAUCACGCUGAGCAGUAUGGAGGUGCUCAGUUCAUUUGUGUGGGGAAAGGGCUGGUUCAGAGGUUUCUCCAGGACAAACUGCUAACUGAUACUUCUGCGGGUAGGAAUAAGAAAGGGGAUAUCAUACUGCAGCACUUCGACAGUUUCCUAUCCUUGGAGAGCCGGAGUGAGGACUUCCUCUCUUUUCCUCCCAUGCAGAAGAGGCUGGACAUCUUCCUGAGGAGUGCCAUGGAACCUUAUCCAGAGCUGUGGGGCUUCUGCAAGAAGCUGCUCAUCCUUUCCCACGGCCAAGCUACAGUUGAACGUGGAUUCUCUAUCAACAAAGAGAUGGAGUCAGACAAUAUUCAAGAGGACAAUGUGGUCACACGGAGGCUGGUGUGUGAUUAUAUCACACAACACGGAGGUUUUACCCAGGUUCCACUCAGUAAAGCGCUAUUCGAGAGUGUAGCAAGAGCUAGGACCAGAUAUCGUGCCCAUCUUGAGACAGAGAGAAAGAAAAGGGAGGCAAAAUCCUAG